This 209-nucleotide ribosomal RNA is filed under the name uncultured bacterium. RNAcentral describes it as "partial 16S ribosomal RNA". It matches the Rfam family "Bacterial small subunit ribosomal RNA", at positions 568 to 774 of the family's 1533-position model. The record is from RNAcentral.
CGCGCAGGCGGUCGAUUUAGUCGCGUGUGAAAGCCCCCGGCUCAACUGGGGAGGGUCAUUCGAUACUGAUCGACUCGAAGGCAGGAGAGGGUAGUGGAAUUCCCGGUGUAGUGGUGAAAUGCGUAGAUAUCGGGAGGAACACCAGUGGCGAAGGCGACUACCUGGCCUGUUCUUGACGCUGAGGCGCGAAAGCUAGGGGAAGGCAAACG